CCUACGGGGAGCAGCAGUAGGGAAUCUUCCACAAUGGGCGAAAGCCUGAUGGAGCAACGCCGCGUGGGUGAAGAAGGUCUUCGGAUCGUAAAACCCUGUUGUUAGAGAAGAAAGUGCGUGAGAGUAACUGUUCACGUUUCGACGGUAUCUAACCAGAAAGCCACGGCUAACUACGUGCCAGCAGCCGCGGUAAUACGUAGGUGGCAAGCGUUAUCCGGAUUUAUUGGGCGUAAAGGGAACGCAGGCGGUCUUUUAAGUCUGAUGGGAAAGCCUUCGGCUUAACCGGUGUAGAGCAUUGGAAACUGGGAGACUUGAGUGCAGAAGAGGAGAGUGGAACUCCAUGUGUAGCGGUGAAAUGCGUAGAUAUAUGGAAGAACACCAGUGGCGAAAGCGGCUCUCUGGUCUGUAACUGACGCUGAGGUUCGAAAGCGUGGGUAGCAAACAGGAUUAGAUACCCGUGUAGUC
RNAcentral lists this ribosomal RNA (465 nucleotides) under uncultured bacterium. RNAcentral's name for it is "partial 16S ribosomal RNA". It matches the Rfam family "Bacterial small subunit ribosomal RNA", at positions 338 to 795 of the family's 1533-position model. The record is from RNAcentral.